RNAcentral lists this ribosomal RNA (253 nucleotides) under uncultured bacterium. Its description in RNAcentral is "partial 16S ribosomal RNA". It matches the Rfam family "Bacterial small subunit ribosomal RNA", at positions 524 to 776 of the family's 1533-position model. RNAcentral also lists the same sequence under 1 other name. The record is from RNAcentral.
UACGUAGGGGGCAAGCGUUAUCCGGAUUUAUUGGGCGUAAAGAGCUCGUAGGCGGCCGUUCGCGUCGGAUGUGAAAGCUCAGGGCUCAACCCUGAGACGCCAUUCGAUACGGGACGGCUAGAGGUAGGUAGGGGAAAGUGGAAUUCCUGGUGUAGCGGUGAAAUGCGCAGAUAUCAGGAGGAACACCGGUGGCGAAGGCGGCUUUCUGGGCCUUACCUGACGCUGAGGAGCGAAAGCUGGGGGAGCGAACAGG